UUAGUGACUAUAACUCUGAUACUCCUGGUCCAGCUACUGAAAGAAAUAACGCUUCUCUGGCUACUGGUCAAACCAAAGAGUCUGAAAUUGCAAGUUCUUGCGGUCAACAAAGAGUAUUUCCAAUCCAAAUUCCAGUUAAUGGUAUAAGCUUUAAUAAUCUGUGCACCAGCUAUGGUUCCACAUUUCCUCCAAUUUUCUGUAAACAAUCUGGUGCAUCAACAAUAGUGAGUCCAAGUUCAGGCAGCCAGCUGGAACCCAGCCCUAAAGUAAAUCCAUUUCAUCAGUCCAGCUUCAAAAGUAAUUCUGAACUCCACAAUCAAUUUGGUCAAACUCCAAAUGAUUCCACCAAUCUAUCUCUGCAAAAACAGGACCACAAGUUGGAUUCUUUGGAGGAUCGAGGACACAUUUCUCCUGCC
RNAcentral lists this unclassified non-coding RNA (416 nucleotides) under Hevea brasiliensis (rubber tree). Lineage: Eukaryota; Viridiplantae; Streptophyta; Magnoliopsida; Malpighiales; Euphorbiaceae. The record is from RNAcentral.